ACACUAAGGUGAGCGAGUGAACUAUUGUUAAGGAACUCUGCAAAAUGAGUCCGUAACUUCGGAAGAAGGACUGCUGGUUUUAUACCAGCCGCAGCAAAUAGGCCCAAACAACUGUUUAUCAAAAACACAGGUUUCUGCAAAAUCGUAAGAUGAAGUAUAGGGGCUGACGCCUGCCCAGUGCUGGAAGGUUAAAAGGAGGACUUAGCUUCGGCGAAGGUCUUAAUUGAAGCCCCAGUGAACGGCGGCCGUAACUAUAACGGUCCUAAGGUAGCGAAAUUCCUUGUCGGGUAAGUUCCGACCCGCAUGAAAGGCGUAAUGAUUUGGGCGCUGUCUCAACAAUAGACUCGGUGAAAUUUAAAUUCCAGUGAAGAUGCUGGGUACCCGCGACAGGACGGAAAGACCCCGUGGAGCUUUACUGUAGCUUGAUAUUGAAUGUUUGUGCUGCAUGUGCAGGAUAGGUAGGAGACUUUGAAGUCGGAACGCUAGUUUCGAUUGAGUCACCCUUGAGAUACUACCUCUGUUGUAUGAACGUUCUAACUCUGAUCAGUUAUCCUGAUCGAAGACAGUGUCUGGCAGGCAGUUUGACUGGGGCGGUCGCCUCCUAAAAGA
RNAcentral lists this ribosomal RNA (609 nucleotides) under Oenococcus oeni. Its description in RNAcentral is "bacterial LSU rRNA". It matches the Rfam family "Bacterial large subunit ribosomal RNA", at positions 1678 to 2297 of the family's 2925-position model. Lineage: Bacteria; Bacillati; Bacillota; Bacilli; Lactobacillales; Lactobacillaceae. The record is from RNAcentral.